GCCCAGGAGGGUGGCCGGCCGCGGGAGGAGGACUUGGGGUCGGGCUGCUGCAGCUGGGUGGCCAGCGCCGCGGCGGCCCCUCCCCCGCUCUCCCUGGCCGCCGCCCCCUCCUCCUCCCGUCCUCCUCCUCCUCUCCCUCCUCCCGGUCCCCCAUCCUCCUCCCGGCCCCCGGCAGCUGCGGCUCGGGGAGCAGCCGGCGGCGCCGCGGCCGCGCAGCCUUUGUCUCGGGCCGCCGGGCGCGCGGGGCCCAGCGCAGGCAGGCCACGCGGGGACGGAGGAGGCAGAGAGGACGGGCUGUGAUGGAGAAACGGGAGAGGAGCCGGCCAGGCGCCACCGUCACCACCAUCACCAACCACCACCACCAUCACCAUCACUGACUGUCGCCCAUCCCAGCUCCCCUGCCUCACCUCCCAUCUCAUAUCCCUGUGCAGUGCCAACUUUAUCAGAUCAUCUCUUUUUCACUGGGUACUACUUUGGAAAAGCGACAGAGUGCGCCAAGUCAGGAAUAAGUACAUCCGCUGUGGGACAUUUAUCUUCCCCUUUCUAUUUAGCUACCUCAAUUUUCUCAUCAGGAAAGGGGGCACAAUGGCAUUUCAUUCCUCUAAAUCACACUGAGAUGGCUGGGUUGCUUCCAGUUUUUCCAGUCCUGGCACUGGACGGUUAUACAUGCUUGGUGAUGAUGAUGAUAAAGUAAUGUCUUCAUUAAAUUGGACAGUUGGGAGUUUUCAGACUUACUCUUCUUUGACUUCUGAGUGUCAGUAUACCAGUAGCAAAUAGAAACAUAAGGAAAGUGAAACUUUGGCUAACAUAAUACCAAGAAUAGAUGCAAAACAGGCACUUUUGUAGGGACAUCACCCAAGAGACCUGCAGGCAAUGGUAUUCAUCUGCAGUGUAGAAAGCACCCCAUCAGUGCCAAGUGGCUGUGGGAGCUCCUCAAUCUGGAUGCACAGUUUCCCGUGGGGUUUUCACCCUACCUAAAGAAUGCUUUAAUUGCUGUUUUUCAAAAUUGUCUUUCACCAGGCCCCAGGGACGGCUGACCAUUCAGAACAAACACAGGGACAGAGCCCCAGGGCUGUUGGGAAGCCCAGCACCAGAGGGCAUGAACCUUCUUAGGAGAAGUAAAACUUACAAAAAACAAGCUCUUAAACCCUCCGCCUUUUCCCCUAUUGGUUAGAAAGUGAAUCUUAAACUGUGUUUUAUGUUCUAGUCUAAUAAAAGACAGCUAGA
RNAcentral lists this long non-coding RNA (1227 nucleotides) under Homo sapiens (human). RNAcentral's name for it is "HSALNT0304713". Lineage: Eukaryota; Metazoa; Chordata; Mammalia; Primates; Hominidae. The record is from RNAcentral.